CUCCUCACAGUCCCUCCCAGCCGUGAUGCAGACAAGCCCUGUGUGCAGCAUAGUAAAGGGACAGCAUCGAAGCAUCACGGUACACUCCACCUUUGCUGCAAAGGGCAGUGUCAGCACAAGAAGGUUCUGUUUGCAGAGAGCAGGUUCACUGCAAGGAGCUCAAAGAAGCUAUAGCCCCAUCCAGCCCCACUGUGAUGUGCCCACAGGACUCAGGUUCUGGGCCUAACCACCCAGGCCAAGGACUCUGGGCUUGGAGAAGAGGGAAGCAAUUCCACAGGAAAGGAAGUCCUCGAUGUCUCCUACAAAAGUCAGGGCCAGUGAGAAGAACAGAGGGCACCCCAGAUAUUUCAAACAGAAGAAGUUUAAUACGGGCAAUUGGUUACCCAGGAGAGGAAAGAGCUGAAAAGCCAAACAGCGAAUGGUAAGACAGUGUAGUCUGGGCAUGAGCUACUACCAGGUCAGGGUGGGGCAACACACGGAGGAGGUGACAAUUCUGCUUGGGGGUGGUGGAAUCAUGGCAGGAGCCACUGCAUGGCUGAACCACAGAGGACUGGGUAGUUUUGUAGGAGCUGAAGAUGAGAAGACAGCACUGGAACAAUGACACCCUCCCCCCACGAAGCAGAGGGAGAGGGGGAGAAACAGUCUGAUGUCUCCCACCUCCCCAGACCUCUCCCAGUACUUCCCAGUGGCCCAGCCUAGCAUGAAGCCAGUUGGCAAAGGAGCCUGGGAAAAGCGGUUUGCAGGAGGUGGGCUGUCACAUAUGAAAGCAAAUGAGCAAUGCCCAGCACUUCCCCCUGUCACACUCUGCAUGGGGUGAGAACUCAGGAAAAGCAAAGAAAUAUUUGGCACUGUCCCCGGGACUAUGGAUAUGACUAAGUUUUGAUAAGAGUUUAAUGGACCGCGCGCACACACACCUUUCCCGGUGCCACCUGCUUCCUAAGUGUGGCUAAGCAGUCCCCACCCCAGCCCAGCGAACUCAGGACAAGACCCUUGUGCUGGAGUCCAGGAAACUGAGGCUUGCAGAAGGGAAGUAGCUUCUCUCAGGCCUCACAGCUGGAAGAUGGCAGAGCCUGGGCUCAUAUUCACAUUGGUGUGACUCCAGGGCCCGUGGGCCUGAGAGAGAAAUGGUUAGGAAUUGAAGAGGUAAAGCAGAUGAAUGAAGAUGGUACCACUAGGAAGUAGGAUAUGACUGAGUCUGCGCUGCCUCUGUGGCACUCCCUCCGACCCUCUCCCUUGUGGUCUGGCCCUCCAGACUCCUUCUUUAUCUCAGUGGCCCACACCACCCAUCCCCACUGUGAUGUGGAGUUGCCUUCUCCUUGUGUCUCCCCUCUGAUAAGUCACCUCCUCCUGGCAGCCUCCAAACUUGGAGCUGCCCCAGCUUCCUGCUAUUGCUGGCCUCUGGGCUGCAGUACCAUCUCCCACUGGGUUUCUCAGCUCUUCUAUCCUUCUAGCCAGCCCCCUAUAUUAACUUCUCUCCGUUAGGAACCUAGUGUUUUGGUUUUCCUGCUGAUACCUCGCCUGGUACAAUUGUCACCAGUUAUUGUGGGAUUCCUUAGACGAGGAAUGCUUCCACGUGCCUCUCAUGUGUUAAAGCACAAGGUAGGAACCCUCGCCGCACUUGACAGAAGCAGAAGUAGAAGUAGGGCAUCUGGAGAGGAGAAGCCACUGGCCUGCAGUCACACAGCUAAUGAGAGACAGGGCUGGGCUCCCAGUCAGGGGGUAGAAAUCCAGAGCCCACGCCCUGCCUACCGCCUGGCCUGCCAUUGGCCAUCCUGACUGCCAGAUGACUGCCUAGGUGCCAGAACCCUGCCCUGAUGGCAGCCUCUGUGACAUCUCCAUCUGGCUGCUCUGCCCUACAACAGCCCUCAGUGACAUGACUGUGGAUGGCAUCUCUGCACCUGCUCUCCAGCUGAAGACCCCAGUGUCUGCUGAGGGGCCAGUAGGGGAUUUCGGACCCUUCACGCUCCGUGGCCUCCUCGCUCUUCUUCCUCACUCCAGCGUCUCUUCCUGCCAGCCUCUUCCGCCCCUGCCACUCCUGGCAUGCCACUCCAUGCCAGAACCCUCGAUGACUCAUCCACAUAGAGCUUUCGCUUCCUCCUUCUUGUUAAAGGCUCUUGGCCUGCUGCAGCUGCAGAAAGGAGGUGCCUCCUUGGGGGCUCGAAGGCCCGGAGGAGCAGCCAUGGGCCCUGCUGAGGGCUCAGGGCCCAGACGCAAGGAGCUGGGGUGCUGUCCCUGUGGAGCAUAAGGUGGCAAGAGGGCUUCUCAGGCUCCCUGCCAGACACUGGCCUGGGCCAAACUCUCUCCAAAUGGCCGGUCACCUACACAGGCUGGCAUACCGGGGGCCGACCUAGAAUUUUUAAGCUGGAAUUGUGCCUCUCCUACUUAUGAGACAUCAGAGGGACCCGUCUUCAUUCAUUUGUUCGUUUGUGCAUGGAUGCUUCAUGACUUUCUCCCUCUGUUCCCUCAUUUAACAAAUCUGUCCUGGUCUCCUAGGUACCAAGUAGUCCCUAGUGGACCAAGAAACCGAAGUUCAUUCUCUGCCCAUGAGGAUCUCCCAGGUGAGGGGGUGGGAAGUGAGGUUGAGGGACAGAUCUGUAAACAGAGAACCUGAGUAGGGUUAAAGAAAACCCAAAACAGGGACGCCUGGGUGGCUCAGCCGUUGAGCAUCUGCCUUUGGCUCAGGGCGUGAUCCCAGGGUUCCGGGAUCGAGUCCCACAUCAGGCUCCUUGCAUGAUGCUUCUCCCUCUGCCUCUGUCUCUCUCUGGCUCUGUCUUUCAUGAAUAAGUAAAAUUUAAAAGAAAAAAAGAAAACCCAAAACGGUAGGGAAGCCUUGGGGGUACUUCUGAGAUCUCUUCAUACAGUUUACCAGACAUGUGUACACAGAAAUGCUUCCUCAUUACAAGCUGGCUUCCUCUCCCUUUAGAGCAUUCUAUAGCGACCAGCUGCUCCAAGGGCAAGGCUAAAAAUUAAACUUCACUGAGCCUCCUCGGUGCAGGUGUGUUGUGCAACUUCGAGGGGUUGGGGAGGGCCCAUUCAUAUCCUAGUCUAAGGGGAUGGCAUCUGGUUGAAUGACCCUGCUGUGGAGCCAGACCUGGGUUACACUUAGGGUCAUUUUCUUACCAUGUGACUUUAAGGAAGUUGGUCAUCUCUGAGCCUUGGUUUACUCAUCUGUAAAAUGAAGCUAUUGAUAACGUCAGUGUUGUGUUUUUGCAAGAAUUCAAUGAGAUCAUCCAUGCAGAGCACCUGUACCAUGUAAACAUUGAAGCACUUGGUAAAUGCCAGCUGUCAUAACAAAUACUACUGUUUACAAUGAGGUUCUAUGGGUGCCUGAAUCCCCCCCCACCCCCAUGUAUGUGUCUGUCUGGCUGUCUCAAGGGUGGUCAGGGAAGGCUUCCCCAAAGAGGUGACAUUGACCUUGUGUCUUGAAGGAGAAAGUGGGGGAAAAGCAUUCCAGGUAAGGGGAAAGGCCAGAUGAAGUCAGGGUGUGGGGAGCACUUUGGGGCAGGCAAAAGGACCAGGCCAAGAGUGGCCUGGAGGGGUGGGCCUGGGCUCCUCAGGCCUCAAUGCUACAGCCUGGCUGGGAGCAACUGUUGGAUCUGGGUGGGUGGGGACUGCCCCAGCUUGGUAUCUGAGAUACUGGCAGCUCUCACCCUUUUGUCCCCUCCCAUUUCUGGGCCUCCACUUCCUUCCCCUGCACAGACCACAGAGGCAUUUCAAAGGAAGCUGCUACUUAUUUUAGCAGUGAUCCCUGGACACCCCCACCCACAGCUACCCCUGCCCCUCUAGGCCCCUGUGAAGGGCAUCAGGCCAUUCUUCUGAGUCAUAGCCUCAGUGAGGGCCUGGUCCUACCCCCUUUCCUGCAGCAAGUCAAGCCCAGUCUCAAUGGUUGAAGACAUGGGUUCAAGCCCAGCUCUGGCAUUAACUUACUGGACAACAUCCUAGUCCCUUCAUCUUCCAAGUCUUGGGUCCCCACUGGGCAGGCACUGACCUCUGGGCAGAAAGUGGGGUGGGGAUGGAUGUGCUGCCACACUCCUCUGUUGUCAGACUGGAAGAACUAGAGACAGGGUUGCAGGCAAGAUCGAGUUUGGGGGCCCAGAAGCUUAUACUUUGGAGGUCUGGCCUUAAGAAAAACAGAAUCACAAAUACAGAUACUUAUGAAAGUAAAAUUCUAUUUAGAAAGAA
Molecule: long non-coding RNA, 4182 nt
Organism: Canis lupus familiaris (dog)
Lineage: Eukaryota; Metazoa; Chordata; Mammalia; Carnivora; Canidae
Exons: 2
Source: RefSeq, a predicted model, not a curated record